This 253-nucleotide ribosomal RNA is filed under the name uncultured bacterium. RNAcentral describes it as "partial 16S ribosomal RNA". It matches the Rfam family "Bacterial small subunit ribosomal RNA", at positions 524 to 776 of the family's 1533-position model. The record is from RNAcentral.
UACAGAGGGUGCGAGCGUUGUCCGGAAUUAUUGGGCGUAAAGGGCUCGUAGGCGGUUUGUCACGUCGGGAGUGAAAACUCGGGGCUUAACCCCGAGCCUGCUUCCGAUACGGGCAGACUAGAGGUAUGCAGGGGAGAACGGAAUUCCUGGUGUAGCGGUGAAAUGCGCAGAUAUCAGGAGGAACACCGGUGGCGAAGGCGGUUCUCUGGGCAUUACCUGACGCUGAGGAGCGAAAGCGUGGGGAGCGAACAGG